This 244-nucleotide long non-coding RNA is filed under the name Pan troglodytes (chimpanzee). RNAcentral describes it as "long non-coding RNA NONPTRT016036". The record is from RNAcentral. Lineage: Eukaryota; Metazoa; Chordata; Mammalia; Primates; Hominidae.
UUUUAUUUCAUUUGAAUGCUCUUCCUUUAUAUAAAUCCAAUUUUAAUAUCUAUAUCAAAUUCCUCUCCUCUGGAGGAAUUCUUUUAACAUUUUGUGUGUUUGUGUGCGUGUGUUUAAAUUUAAGGGGUACAGACCGGGUGAGGUGGAUGAUGUCUGUAAUCACAGCACUUUGGGAGCCCGAGGCGGGCAGACUGCAAGGUCAGGAGUUUGAGACAAGCCUAACCAACAUGGUGAAACCCCGUCU